UCUGCCUUGGAGUGGGGAAUAACGGCUGGAAACAGCCGCUAAUACCGCAUGAUGCAUCUGAGUCGCAUGGUUUGGAUGCCAAAGAUUUAUCGCUCUGAGAUGAGCUCGCGUCUGAUUAGCUAGUUGGCGGGGUAACGGCCCACCAAGGCGACGAUCAGUAGCCGGACUGAGAGGUUGGCCGGCCACAUUGGGACUGAGACACGGCCCAGACUCCUACGGGAGGCAGCAG
RNAcentral lists this ribosomal RNA (229 nucleotides) under uncultured bacterium. RNAcentral's name for it is "partial 16S ribosomal RNA". It matches the Rfam family "Bacterial small subunit ribosomal RNA", at positions 125 to 354 of the family's 1533-position model. The record is from RNAcentral.